Molecule: unclassified non-coding RNA, 342 nt
Filed under: soil metagenome
Description: partial contains 5.8S ribosomal RNA, internal transcribed spacer 2, and large subunit ribosomal RNA
Rfam family: 5.8S ribosomal RNA (bases 4-118)
Source: RNAcentral
GAUGGAACGUAGCGAAAUGCGAUAAGUAAUGUGAAUUGCAGAAUUCAGUGAAUCAUCGAAUCUUUGAACGCACAUUGCGCCCCUUGGUAUUCCGAGGGGCAUGCCUGUUCGAGCGUCAUUACACCACUCAAGCACUGCUUGGUAUUGGGCACUCGUCCGUCGAAAGACGGGCGUGCCUCGAAGACCUCGGCGGGGUUUCUCCAACUUCGGGCGUAGUAGAGUUAAAUCAAAACGUCUUAUAAGCUUGGUGAAAUCUCAUUGCCGUUAAACCUUUUUUUUUCAGGUUGACCUCGGAUCAGGUAGGGAUACCCGCUGAACUUAAGCAUAUCAAUAAGAGGAGGA